GUUUUGUUUUUUAAUAAUUUACCAACAAUGAGAAACGUUUCAGCCCCAGAGCCUCAGUUGCGGGAAUCCAAUGGACGAGACUGUACGCAGGGUGCAAACUACUGGGGAGCUCGGCUCCUCAUAAAAAAGACGAGAGGCUGCUGUCAGUUCAUCCUGACCGAUCCUGUCGGAGUAAUGUGCCCAGCAUCGAAAGUAAGUCAAAGGCUACUGUUGGGCUGCUUACCUGCUGCUGUGGUGGGUAUCCCGGGCCGGGCUGGGGGAACCCCGGCUGGGGGUUGUCUUGGUAGGGCGG
This is a long non-coding RNA of Micropterus salmoides (largemouth bass), 292 nucleotides long. RefSeq lists it as uncharacterized. The record is from RefSeq and is a predicted model, not a curated record. The transcript has 3 exons. Lineage: Eukaryota; Metazoa; Chordata; Actinopteri; Centrarchiformes; Centrarchidae.